RNAcentral lists this ribosomal RNA (427 nucleotides) under uncultured bacterium. Its description in RNAcentral is "bacterial SSU rRNA". It matches the Rfam family "Bacterial small subunit ribosomal RNA", at positions 355 to 774 of the family's 1533-position model. The record is from RNAcentral.
UGGGGAAUAUUGGACAAUGGGGGCAACCCUGAUCCAGCAAUGCCGCGUGUGUGAAGAAGGCCUUCGGGUUGUAAAGCACUUUUAUCGGGAACGAAACAUUGUCGGCCAAUACCCGGCAAGACUGACGGUACCCGAGGAAUAAGCACCGGCUAACUCCGUGCCAGCAGCCGCGGUAAUACGGAGGGUGCAAGCGUUAAUCGGAAUUACUGGGCGUAAAGCGUGCGCAGGCGGUUUGUUAAGUCUGCUGUGAAAUCCCCGAGCUCACCUUGGGAAUUGCAGUGGAUACUGGCAAGCUGGAGUACGGUAGAGGAAGGUGGAAUUCCCGGUGUAGCAGUGAAAUGCGUAGAGAUCGGGAGGAACACCAGUGUCGAAGGCGGCCUUCUGGACCAGUACUGACGCUCAUGCACGAAAGCGUGGGGAGCAAACA